UAGGGUGAUUCCAAAAUCUGUGAUGAACAGGUCGGUCAUGAAAAGACCCUUACCGGAUUAUUACCAGCGUUGGCAGGCGCCAACCUGAUAUACGGUCUGG
Non-coding RNA from Desulfobacteraceae bacterium 4572_123, 100 nucleotides. The record is from Rfam. NCBI's taxonomy places the organism in Bacteria, Pseudomonadati, Thermodesulfobacteriota, Desulfobacteria, Desulfobacterales, Desulfobacteraceae.